Nomascus leucogenys (northern white-cheeked gibbon) is the source of this 1117-nucleotide long non-coding RNA. RefSeq lists it as uncharacterized. The transcript has 2 exons. The record is from RefSeq and is a predicted model, not a curated record. NCBI's taxonomy places the organism in Eukaryota, Metazoa, Chordata, Mammalia, Primates, Hylobatidae.
CCUGCCUUGGCCUCCCAAAGUGCUGGGAUUACAGGCAUAAACUUUUGGUCUUCUGGCCACAUCCAACACUUGAUUACAAUUGUUCUUCUACUAUCUUGGCAGAUCUGGUGUCCCUGGAGAAGGCUAAAGGUGGGCCAUGUAGAGAUAUGGACUUCCAAUACCAAGGGUGGGUCUUCUGUUGAUCUUGUUUGCUCAGUAUCUGUUUUCCUUCCUUUUGUGGACAACAGCCUGUUUGUCUAGGGAAGGAUCAUCCCAAACUUCAUUUGUGCUGUAUAGGUUUUUCUUCCCCUUUUAAUCCAGAGGUGAGCAAAUGACCUUGGCUUGGUGCUCCCACAUCAUGGUUCCAUCCACCAACACAGAAACCAGUUCUGGGAUAAGCCUUUGACUCAAGCUGCUCCAGUGAGAAUGGACCAUGUGAUCACACAAUGGAAAGCAGAUUUAUAAGGAGAUACUAGAUUCUGGACAUCAUUUAGUUUUUGGAUUCCUUAAUUCCUGAAGUCAGUCUCACCCUGGGCUUUUUCCUAUGAGCCAAUAUAUUUCCCUUCUAUGCUGAAGGUAGUUUGAAUUGGGUUUCUGUUGCUUGCACCCAAAGGAUCCCUGGCUGGUGGAAUGCUUAAUAUGACUUCCUCUGGCAAGCACAGUGACCAAAGUCAAGUAUCACGACUACAGUGGGUGGAAACCGACUUAAGAUGCAGAAAAUUUAAAAACCAGGUCCGCUACUGCAGCUACCACCAUAGUGACCACUAUACCAUAUAUACAUAUUAUAAUAUAUAACAUCAUCACCACCAAGGUAGACGCCCCAUUUCUCUAGUCAAUCCCUGAGUAUCUUCAAGCAAUUCAUAUGACUUUUCUUUUGCAUUCCCCAGAAGAAAUUCUGAAGGGAAAGGAAUAAAGAAUUUUGCAUUGGCCAAGCAUUAGUUUGAAAUGCCUAAGCUCUUCUUUAUGGAAGUUUUUAAAUGCAGUCACUUUUGAUUUAGUUCAGAAUUAUAAUCAACUAGAGGCUACAGGCAUUUUAGCCUGCUGGAGUUUAUAUUGGGAGUUUUGCAAGACAGCAAUCUCUAUUUCUUAAACAUGUGCUUUAGUAAGACAAAAUACUAUUUCUCAGUAGAGCACACCC